RNAcentral lists this ribosomal RNA (1514 nucleotides) under Clostridiales bacterium. Its description in RNAcentral is "bacterial SSU rRNA". It matches the Rfam family "Bacterial small subunit ribosomal RNA". Lineage: Bacteria; Bacillati; Bacillota; Clostridia; Eubacteriales. The record is from RNAcentral.
CAAUUUGAGAGUUUGAUCCUGGCUCAGGAUGAACGCUGGCGGCGUGCCUAAUACAUGCAAGUCGAGCGGAGAUAUGGCGCAAGUCAUAUUUUAGCGGCGGACGGGUGAGUAACGCGUGGAUAAUCUGCCUUUCACUCGCGGAUACCAAUGAGAAAUCAUUGUUAAUACGUGAUACGAUUUAUGUCUCGCAUGGGAUAUAAAAGAAAGAUUAAUCGGUGGAAGAUGAGUCCGCGUCUGAUUAGCUGGUUGGAGAGGUAAAAGCUCACCAAGGCGACGAUCAGUAGCCGGCCUGAGAGGGUGAUCGGCCACAUUGGAACUGAGAGACGGUCCAAACUCCUACGGGAGGCAGCAGUAGGGAAUAUUGCACAAUGGGGGAAACCCUGAUGCAGCAACGCCGCGUGAAGGAAGAAGGUUCUCGGAUCGUAAACUUCUAUCGACAGGGACGAAAACAAUGACGGUACCUGAAUAAGAAGCCCCGGCUAACUACGUGCCAGCAGCCGCGGUAAUACGUAGGGGGCAAGCGUUAUCCGGAAUUACUGGGUGUAAAGGGUGAGUAGGCGGUCGGAUAAGUCAUAUGUGAAAUUCCAGGGCUUAACCCUGGAACUGCAUAAGAAACUGUAAGACUAGAGUACAGGAGAGGUAAGCGGAAUUCUUAGUGUAGCGGUGAAAUGCGUAGAUAUUAAGAAGAACACCAGUGGCGAAGGCGGCUUACUGGACUGAAACUGACGCUGAGUCACGAAAGCGUGGGGAGCGAACAGGAUUAGAUACCCUGGUAGUCCACGCUGUAAACGAUGAUAGCUAGGUGUCGGCUCGAGAGGGUCGGUGCCGCAGUUAACACAAUAAGCUAUCCACCUGGGGAGUACGGUCGCAAGAUUGAAACUCAAAGGAAUUGACGGGGGCCCGCACAAGCGGUGGAGCAUGUGGUUUAAUUCGACGCAACGCGAAGAACCUUACCAAGGCUUGACAUCCCUCUGACGUUGUUGGAGACAGCAAUUUCCUUCGGGACAGAGGAGACAGGUGGUGCAUGGUUGUCGUCAGCUCGUGUCGUGAGAUGUUGGGUUAAGUCCCGCAACGAGCGCAACCCUUAUGUUCAGUAGCCAGCAGGUAAAGCUGGGCACACUGGAGAGACUGCCGGGGAUAACUCGGAGGAAGGUGGGGAUGAGGUCAAAUCAUCAUGCCCCUUAUGUCUUGGGCUACACACGUGCUACAAUGGCUCAAACAAAGUGAAGCCAGCCGGUGACGGUGAGCAAAACACGAAAUUGAGUCUCAGUUCGGAUUGAAGUCUGCAACCCGACUUCAUGAAGUUGGAAUCGCUAGUAAUCGCGAAUCAGCAUGUCGCGGUGAAUACGUUCCCGGGCCUUGUACACACCGCCCGUCACACCAUGGGAGUUGGAAGCGCCCGAAGUCCGUGACCCAACCCGCAAGGGAGGGAGCGGCCGAAGGUGAAGCCAGUGACUGGGGUGAAGUCGUAACAAGGUAGCCGUAUCGGAAGGUGCGGCUGGAUCACCUCCUUU